This 113-nucleotide ribosomal RNA is filed under the name Elusimicrobia bacterium CG_4_8_14_3_um_filter_50_9. Lineage: Bacteria; Pseudomonadati; Elusimicrobiota. The record is from RNAcentral. RNAcentral also lists the same sequence under 1 other name.
UUUGGCGCCUAUAGCGAAGGGGCAACACCCGUUCCCAUUCCGAACACGGCCGUUAAGACCUUCAGUGCCGAUGAUACUGUGUUUACUCACGGGAAAGUAGGGCGGCGCCAAAA